This 4236-nucleotide long non-coding RNA is filed under the name Homo sapiens (human). RNAcentral describes it as "HSALNT0373290". The record is from RNAcentral. Lineage: Eukaryota; Metazoa; Chordata; Mammalia; Primates; Hominidae.
CCCACCUCUGCCUCCCAAAGUGCUGGGAUUACAGGCGUGAGCCACCAUGCCGGGCCCCCAGCGUUAGUUUUAUGAAGAAUUGGACUGUGUAUAACAGAAACAAACACAUACAUACUGCAAACUUGGAGUCUUAAUGGUAUUUAAUCAAAAGCAAUUCAAUUCACUGUUUAAAAACCUUUGCCACAUUACCUAUUCACUUUAUAAAAAUCACGUUCAUCAUCAUGGAGAUGAAAAAGGUUCCUUGUUAAUGGCGAGUAAGUGGGUGGCUGCAGAAGACUGUGCAAAGAUACAGACAUAAAGGAAGAGAGAAAUUGGGCAGAGAGGGCGUGGGGUAUGGGAAGUAGAAGAAAGGACACAUGUCAUUAAGAACAAGUCGUUCUGUGAAACAGGAAUUUGAACUAAUAAAUCCUGUUGUCUAAUGGAAUGCACCCAAGAAGAAAAUAAACAGCUCAGUUGGUUGAAGACAGAUUUCUAAGAAGUUUUUCUUAUUGAGUACCCAAGGGAAAGCCAGUAUUUCAGAAGCUCUGGUGUCCAUGGUCAAAUGGUAUUUUCAAACAACUGUGGAGAGAAGUCAAGAUGCAUACACUUGGAGUCAUUAAAUAAUGAGGAAGACAAGGUGGUGAGAAAUCAUUGCUAAACUGCAGUUCACCCCGUGCCUGCCAACAGAUACAGAGCAGACAAGCUUGUGUUCCUGAGGUUACGCUGCUCUCAUUUAGAGCACCACUAAGCCAAAUGAAGAAUAUUACUUAUAUAUAGCAGACUCUUCCUCAGGGAGGAACCCGAGGAAAGUCACAAAAAAAGUAGAGGAAGCCGAAAGAGUGUUUUUAGUCUCACACAUCCUGUACUUUUUUUUCAGCUGCUAUUUUGAAAGAUAAACAUUACAUUUGUGGUUGAGUCGUCUUCCAGGUUAGAGAAAACAAAACAAUAUGGUUGUGAAAAGAAGAGGCCUGUGAUGGAGCUAAUGACCUUGGAAAGGCAGACUGCUUUCCUGGUUUUCAAAACAAAACAAACCAAAACAAACCAUUUUUAAAAAGUGGUUGAACAACGGUAAAGCCCUUGCAUCUAUCUCCAGUGCCCCUAGGCCCCCAGCUGGUUCUAGAGUGACCUAGACACAAAGAUGCUCUGUCCAGUGUGAGCAGAGGAAUGGCAUGCCGUCCCUGUAUAGCCAAUUCCACCUUCAGCUUUCAUUCGAUUGGCAUUUUGUAGGCAGGAAGUUGUGUUCAACUCAGGUUUUAUUGAAACUAGGGCAUUUCUAUAUUCUUCUUAAUUUGAAAAUGAAAGCAAAUUUUAUUUAGGAAGCUAGUGGAGUUUUCUUGUGGGUUUGAAGGCAAUCUCACUUUACCAAUGGGUCAAUUCCAUAGAUCCUUUUGUUUCCUAUUAGAUACCAAAAGUGGCUCCUACUUACUAUAUCCAAAACCCUGCUGUCAUCACACAGGGCACCGCUAAAGCCUAUAGUCAGCUGAGAGAUCAGAGAAUUUGAGAGGAAGAAACCAACCUAUAUGGCAUUAGUAGAGCAGUGGGUGGAAAUGCCUGCUGGUCUAGAUAUUAUUGGGCCUCCUUGAGAAAUUACUCAAUAUGACUGAUAACAUGUGUUGAAAGGUGUUGCAGAGUGGCUUCCUUUAUACAGUCUACAGUGGAAUUGACUUGUAAUGGUGCCAUUAGGUCGGAAUUGGAAGACAGAUAGGGAUCCAGAAGACCCCAGAUGCAUGAUUCUUAAACCUCCCAAUAAUAAAAUAUAUUGUUGAUUGGCAUUGUGUUAGGAUUCCUAUGGCUGCUCUAACAAAUUAUCACAAAUUUUGUGGCUUAAAACAACUGAAAUUUAUUCUCUCACAGUUCUGGAGGCAAGAAGUCCUAAAUCAGUGUCACCAGGCAGAAAUCAAGGUACUGGCAGAGCUGUCCUCCCUCCAGAUGCUCCAGUUCUUCAAAGAAAUGCUUCAGGAUCUUGAUCCUACUUGUGUAAAAUUUCCAUUGUCUGCAGCUGAUCUGGCCUCAACAGUUUUGGCAUCCAUCAAAUGGAAAGUUUGCUCAACUUUAAUUUUUCAGUCAUAACUGUGUAAGCUGAACCAAGUGAGAUGCCUAUUGUGUUGGCUUCUGUUUGUGCUGUUACACCAGUCCUCUUCAUUUGGGGCAUGGACAAGAUGAGUUUUUUCCUCACAGAUUGAUGUGGAUGGUCUGCCAUGGCUUAUCUUCUUUCUCUCCCCUCACUAUGGGUGUCCUCCCAAGCGUCAGUGCUAGACUCUCUAACUAACCAUCUGCUCUAUGGAAGUUGCUUAUGAAGGGACACACUAUUCUCUCCAGGUGAUCACUGUCAAAUCUGCAUUUCCACAGCAGCUUUUCUCUGCGCUCCAGCCAAUGAGUCAGCUAGGCAGAAGGUAUAAUAUAUGGGGCACAGACAGGGGAGUAUGGAGUAGGGAGUUUGGGGAGUUGGACAAUAUCAGGAAACAGGGAAUGUUUUCAAAAUAUUUAUAGUAGAUGAGAUUUAGUAGGUCUCGGGUGGGACUUGGGCAACUGUAUGUCAAGGGACUCAGUGAUUCUGAUUUCAGAGAACCACAGUUCCAGAACUCUUAGUUUCAAUUCCUUAUAGUACAACUUUAAAGGUUGCUAUCAGCAUAGCUCUACGACACCGUCUUCCCUUUCCAAUUUCCCCAUUUGGUUCAGUAUUAAUACUCUUGCUUUUUCUGAGAAAUUGGAAUGUUUAAGGGAGUUUAAUUUGCCACAUUUGUACAUUUGAUGUGUUAGGUUGAUAAGAAUUAUUUAAGUACUUGGGGGAGGUUUUGCUUAUUAGGUUAUAAGUUAGCUCUUCAGGCAUUUGAAAUGUUUAAAAUAAAAACUGACUUGUUAAAUUUAUAAAUACAGUUUAAAAUGUUUAAGGAGAUUUAAUUAUCUACUUUGUAAAUGGUACUGAAUUGUUUAAUUAAAUUUGGUUUCUUUAAUAUCAGCUCACCAAAUAUUAAUCAUAGAAAAGUGAAUUAUUCUUCAUUUGCAUAACAAGAUUAGUAAUUUAAACUCAAGAAAAACUAGAUUCUUAAUUGUGUAAUAAAAAUGGAAUAUUAAUUUGCUAUCCCAGUAAGUGUAAAUAGUUUUUUCUACUUCUAAAGAUUCCUUUCCUGCCCAAGACCUAAAAACAAAUGAAUAAACCUCCACAAUAUCAAAAGAUAGAGCCUAAAUAUGUUUAAAUGUAAAUGACACUUAUUCCCCACAGUUUCUAUACUCCUUAUGGUUCUGAAAUUUCUGGAAUAUAAGUGACUCAAAACACCCUUCAUUAAUCUGACGAGAUGAAUUAUGAGCACCUUUCAAGUUAUCUUUUAAAUACAAAGUUCCUUCAACAUUGGAUAUGUAAUUUGGAAUACAUUGUACUAUGGAAUGGAAUUUGCUCACUUGCUUUCCCCUCAACCCAUCAUCUGGUUAACUCCUAGCUCCACUUAAAGUUUAAGAAAAGACUUUCCUAAUCCUCUAACACAAAUUCCGUCUGUUUAUAUCUAUUGAACACCUACUAUGUGCCAGGAACACAUAGUAAUACAAAAGACAUGAAGGCUAUGAUCUAGUAAGAGUGUAAUUGGUACAACCUCUGAAGACGGACCUUUCAUCUAGGGAGGAGCUGAAAGCCCUUUGAAGAUGUUAAUAAGAAAGAGACCUGCUAAUUAAGAUUGCUUAAAAAUAAAAACUCAUCUUCCAGUAUGUUUACAUGAUUGCUGGGAAGGUUCUGACUCAAAGAGAUUUGCUAUCACAGGAUCUCAUUCAGGACACCACAUUACCAUUAGUCACAGUGUCUCCUCUGGCUCCUCUUGGCUGUCAGUUUCUCAGAGCGUCCUUGUUUUUAAUGGCCUUGAAUAUUUUGAAGAGUAUGGGUCAGGUGUUUUGUAGAAAGCCCUUCACUUGGGAUUUAUCUGAUGGAGUUAGAGUUUGGAGGAAAACCCCAAAGGUAAAGUGCCAUUUCCAUCACAUCCUGUCAAGAGUGCUGGUGUUAGUCAGUCAGGGCUGCCAUGGCAAUAUACCACAGACUGUGUGUUUUAAACAACAGAAAUUUGUUAUGAAGCCUGGAAAUAUAAAAUCCGCAGGGUCGGUUUAUUCUGAGGCCUCUCUCCUUGUCGUGCAGAUGGCUGCCUUCUCAUUGUGUUCUCACAUGGCUCUUUCUCCAUGCACCCACCUUCUUAGGGCUUCUCUCCCUGUGUCCUAAUCUCCUCUUCAAAGAAACUACCAUCAGAGUGAACAGGCAACCUACAAAAUGGGAGAAAA